This 957-nucleotide ribosomal RNA is filed under the name uncultured cyanobacterium. Its description in RNAcentral is "bacterial SSU rRNA". It matches the Rfam family "Bacterial small subunit ribosomal RNA", at positions 434 to 1407 of the family's 1533-position model. Lineage: Bacteria; Bacillati; Cyanobacteriota. The record is from RNAcentral.
UUUUCUCAAGGAAGAAGAUCUGACGGUACUUGAGGAAUAAGCCACGGCUAAUUCCGUGCCAGCAGCCGCGGUAAUACGGGAGUGGCAAGCGUUAUCCGGAAUUAUUGGGCGUAAAGCGUCCGCAGGCGGCUUUGUAAGUCUGCUGUCAAAGCGUGGAGCUCAACUCCAUUUCGGCAGUGGAAACUACGAGGCUUGAGUGUGGUAGGGGCAGAGGGAAUUCCCGGUGUAGCGGUGAAAUGCGUAGAUAUCGGGAAGAACACCAGUGGCGAAGGCGCUCUGCUGGGCCAUAACUGACGCUCAUGGACGAAAGCCAGGGGAGCGAAAGGGAUUAGAUACCCCUGUAGUCCUGGCCGUAAACGAUGAACACUAGGUGUCGGGGGAAUCGACCCCCUCGGUGUCGUAGCCAACGCGUUAAGUGUUCCGCCUGGGGAGUACGCACGCAAGUGUGAAACUCAAAGGAAUUGACGGGGGCCCGCACAAGCGGUGGAGUAUGUGGUUUAAUUCGAUGCAACGCGAAGAACCUUACCAGGGUUUGACAUCCUGCGAAUCCCUUGGAAACGAGGGAGUGCCUUCGGGAGCGCAGAGACAGGUGGUGCAUGGCUGUCGUCAGCUCGUGUCGUGAGAUGUUGGGUUAAGUCCCGCAACGAGCGCAACCCACGUCUUUAGUUGCCAGCAUUAAGUUGGGCACUCUAGAGAGACCGCCGGUGAUAAACCGGAGGAAGGUGUGGAUGACGUCAAGUCAUCAUGCCCCUUACAUCCUGGGCUACACACGUACUACAAUGCUACGGACAAAGGGCAGCAAACUCGCGAGAGCUAGCAAAUCCCAUAAACCGUGGCUCAGUUCAGAUCGUAGGCUGCAACUCGCCUACGUGAAGGAGGAAUCGCUAGUAAUCGCAGGUCAGCAUACUGCGGUGAAUACGUUCCCGGGCCUUGUACACACCGCCCGUCACACCAUGG